Molecule: long non-coding RNA, 1279 nt
Organism: Aedes albopictus (Asian tiger mosquito)
Lineage: Eukaryota; Metazoa; Arthropoda; Insecta; Diptera; Culicidae
Exons: 3
Source: RefSeq, a predicted model, not a curated record
UGCUGAACAAAGUUUCGCCAAAUGUCUUUUCAAUUUUGAGUUACAACACUUUUUGUAUGUGUGUUACGAACGCGAAGCGUGAAGUACAUUUGAAUCCACACAAUUCGGAACGAAUUCCUUUCCAACCAUUUCCUACAACUAACCAAGCGAGCCGCAUCAUAAAACCCCAAUCAAAUUCGAACAAUCAUGACCUACCACAAUAUAAUAGGGCCCGCGAUUAUAAACGUAGAGCAGAGCGGCAAUGUUUAUCAGCAUAACGAAGCAAAAGCUAUGCGGCUGAGGGACUCGACUGACUUUGAGCAGCAUGAUAAAAUAAACAAUCUGAAGCGACACCCGAUGGAAACCAUACCAAUAGCCUAGCAGAUCGGUAGCAUUCUAAAUGUAAUCAAAAUUAAUCAUUGAACUUGAUCUUGAAAAUUAGGCCAGCUGAGCAUCGGGAUCGUGCAAAAUAUGAAUGGUAGAUCUAAUUCUGUACAAAUACAAUCAAAUCAUGUAGCUAAAGAGAUUGCUCAAAUUCAGGAAAAUUCUCUCUUCGGAGAAGAAAAUAUUUCUCCUGUGAAAACACGAAAAAACCAUGUACCCGCGAAAGAUCAUUCUAGAAAUUUGGCCGCUCAUAUAUUCAUGUUAAAACACGUACUGAAAGUGUAAAUGUGUAGAUCGUAACGAGAGCCGCUAUUUCAUCAUCCUUUCAGGAAAGAUCAUGUGUAAUUUUUGGUAGGCCCUGCGGCUAUAAAAGAGGAAGAUCAAUAAAGACGACAGUCAGUUUUGUUUUUGGACUCCACACUGGAUACCUCCCGGAUAAGUAUUUUGCUACUCAAAUUCCUUUGAUCCUGAACUUGCACUUGCGAAGCUUAAAUUAUUCUGAUCACUUGAUUGGAUAAUUCAAUCCUUCUAAAGUGUUGAUAUUUAGAAUCGUGGAAGUCUAAGUCAUUGGAUCGGUCAAACUUUUUCUCACUCUGGUAAGCCAAGGUUCCGAAUGCGAGUAACGUUGGCAUGAGUCUAGAAAGGCCUAAAUCCUAACACACACGAUUUGGACGUUCGAUUUUAACUAUUCUCCUUCUUGAACCUCCUACCCUGAGUGAGUAGUAUCGGUGUUCGAAAGUAACGCGUUCCGUCUAGUCUGUUGGUUGGCACGCACGGAAUGUAAUACCGUAUCCCUUCGCAACGGUACCGUGAAACGAUUGUGGGUUUCGUCAUCCUGAUCAUCGUCGAUUCAUCAUCGCGAUAGCUGUGGACAAAAGUGCUGCUGGAUUCAGUAAGUAUUUGGUGUAGUCCCACC